UACGGAGGGGGCUAGCGUUGUUCGGAAUUACUGGGCGUAAAGCGCGCGUAGGCGGACCUGCAAGUCGGGGGUGAAAGCCCGAGGCUCAACCUCGGAACUGCCUUCGAUACUGCGGGUCUCGAGUCCGGGAGAGGUGAGUGGAAUUCCUAGUGUAGAGGUGAAAUUCGUAGAUAUUAGGAAGAACACCAGUGGCGAAGGCGGCUCACUGGCCCGGUACUGACGCUGAGGCGCGAAAGCGUGGGGAGCAAACAGGAUUAGAUACCCUGGUAGUCCACGCCGUAAACUAUGGGUGCUAGCCGUCGGUCGGCAUGCCGGUCGGUGGCGCAGCCAACGCAUUAAGCACCCCGCCUGGGGAGUACGGUCGCAAGAUUAAA
This 374-nucleotide ribosomal RNA is filed under the name uncultured bacterium. RNAcentral describes it as "bacterial SSU rRNA". It matches the Rfam family "Bacterial small subunit ribosomal RNA", at positions 524 to 898 of the family's 1533-position model. The record is from RNAcentral.